AUCAAAAAUAUUUAAGUAUUUUAAAGGGGUUAUUAAGGAUGACUAGCAAAUUUAUAAAAAAGGAGGUUCAAACCAAAAGCCAUCAAUACUAUUUUCUAUUACAAGUUUAAUCAGAAAUAGUGAACAGAAUUUGUGGCGAUCCUCAAGGGAAACCUUUUUAUUAUUACUUCCCGAAGUAAAACAUUUCAUUAGGGAAAGGAAAGGAAAUCAACCGAGACUCCGAAAGUAAUGGUGAGUGAAAUCGGACUAGCCUAAUCUUUCUUUUUUUAGCGAAGAUAGGAGUAAAAUAUUUUAAUUUUAUAAUUUUGUUAUAUUUUUAGAAUAUUUGAAACUGGUAGCGUUAUUAGUUUUUAUAAUUAAUAAUUCACUGUAAUUGGGUAGUGAUAAGUCCCGUCAAUAGAAAAAUAAAGAAUAAAAAAAAGAAAAUAUUAUUAUUUUCAAAGUGUUAAUAUCUACUAAAAAAAUAUGUAGGAUUCGUUUUAUAUAUUUACAAUAAAAUUUAUUAACGCGUACUAAGUACAACGAGAGAUAACUUGUUGGAAUAUAGGGGAACCAUCCUCUAAGGCUAAGUAUUUAUAAAUUUAGCGAUAGCGAUAAGUACCGUGAGGGAAAUGAUUGAAAAGAAAUGAGAAAUGGCUGACGCCUUAACUCUAUUGUGAAAAACAUAGUUGAAAUAGAAUUCAGAAUUAGUAACUCUAUAAGCAGUUGAAGUUUAGUCUGCGGACAAUAAAUAGAACGACAACGUACCUUUUGCAUAAUGGGUCAGCAACUUAAUAGUAGUAGCAAGGUUUAAAGCCUUAGCGAAAGCGACUGGGACAAUUUUGUUGUUUACGGGUUAGUUACUAUUAUUAGACCCGAAACUAGAUGAUCUUUCCAAGACCAGAUUAUAAUUGAUCGAACGGGUGAAUGUUGCAUAAUUCUCCGAUGAGUUUUGGAAAGCGGUGAAAUGCCAAUCUGAUCUAGUGAUAGCUGGUUUUCUACGAAACAUAUUACAGUAUGACAUCUAUUCAAGAUUUAUGGAGGUACAGCACGAAAAUCUCAUACAGGCUCACGGGUCUGUUUAAUUUGCGGGGGUGUAAAAGCCUUACCUUUGAGAAUGAAUCUCGGAAUUACAUAAAUUGAUGAUGGAUAUUCAGACUGCUCAUGCUAAGUUGGGUAGUCAAGACGGAAACAGCCGUCAACACAGAAUUAAGGUCCCGAAUGAUUAUUAAGUGAAAUUAAGGAUGUAACAAUUUGAAUGCAGCUGUAAAGUGGUCUUGGUAGUAGAUACUUAUAAUGAUCGUGUAACAACGCAUCAGCCCUUAGAAUGUUGCGCCGAAAAUUUAACGGGUCUAAAUAAUCAACCGAUAUUGUGUUAGUUUUAAAUAUAAUUAAAUAUAUUUAUAUUUAAGAUUUAGGUAGUAGAACAUUCAGAUAAUUGAAGAAACCGUAGACUGGCAGUGUUCCAUUGUCCUAGGUAUCUGAAGAGAUAAUGCUGACAUGAGUAACGUAAAGAAAGUUUAAUCUUUCUCGCCGAAUACGAAAGGGUUAUUAGUAAAGAUUAAAUCUACUAAUGUUAAUGCGGCCUCUAAGGUUCAAAACCAAUGUUUUGGCUGAUGAGUAUAGUAAGGAAAAGCCCUUCGAAGUAAUUUAUUUUAAAUAAUAAAAUAUGGGCCAGGAAAAACAACUUACUUAAGAAUAUAAUUUUAAUAAUUAUUUAUCUUAAAACACCGUACCCUAAACCGACACUGGUUCGUAGGUAGAGUAUACUAAGGCGUAGAGCUAAAAGUUGUAAAGGAACUCGGCAAACUAACCUCUUAAGUUCGACAAGAAGAGGGGCUAUUAAUCUUUAGAAUAAAUAUAAGACUUCUUCCUUAUUCUUUAUAUUAGUAGUGGCACAAAAAUGGGAGCCCCGACUGUUUACUAAAAACACAGCUAUCUGCAAAGACGUAAGUCAUAGUAUAGGUAGUGAGGUUUGCUCAAUGUCCGUAGCAUAAAAUUAGUAAUUGGCAACAGUUACGACUUGAAAGCCGGAUGAAUAGCGGUCUUAACUAUGAGGAUCACCUAAGGUAGCAAAAUCAAUUGGCCGUUAAAUGCGGUCCGGAAUCAAUAAUUUAACGAUGGCUCUGCUGUCUCUACAACUUGCUCAGUGAAAUUGAAUUGCACGUGCAGAUGCGUGCGCAACCAUCAGUGGGACGGGAAGACCCUAUGCAGCUUUACUGUAGUUAGUUAUCAUAAUUAAUCUACAACAACUUUAGUUACUAGAAAAUAGGUUAAGUCAAAUAUUUUGUUAAGUCAAAAUAGACGAAAGUUGGAAUACCUUAAGACUGAGGUUGGGUUAAAUUUACCUUCUAAUUGAAAAGUAAUUAGAUAGGGAUAGUUGACUAAUUGGCAGUUUUACUGGGGCGGUAGUCUUUGAAAGAGUAGCAAAGUACAUCCAGAUUUACUUAAACAAAUAUCUAACAAAUUUUAAUACGGUAAACUUAAAAAUUUACUAAUUUAUUUAUUAACGAGUAGUUAACAAGGUAUGCUAGAAGUUGAAUGGAGAUCAAUUAACCAUGUAAGGUUAUGUAUGGUGCAAUGGCGUAAGCAUGCUUAACUGAAAGACCUAAAAGUCGUACAGAUACGUAAGUAGGGCAUAGUGACCCCUCGCUAUAGUAUGGAAUUAGACGGGGAUCAAUUGAUAAAAGUUACGCUAGGGAUAACAGCCUAAUAGCCUGCGAGAGUACACAUUGUCCAGGCUGUUUGGGACCUCGAUGUCGACUUAUCUUAUCCUCCUGGGGAAAAAUCUGGGAAGGGUCCGGCUGUUCGCCGGUUAAAAAGUUACAUGAGUUGGGUUUAAUACGACGUGAGUCAGUAUGGUCCCUAUCUUCUGAUGGGACAAAUUGUAAAAGGGGAGAGACCUUCUAGUACGAAAGGACCAAUAGGAUGUGUAUCUCUAGUGUACCAAUUGUUGGUGAAACUUAAAAAAUUUGAGAAUUUUUUUUCUAGGAAUCAGCAUAGUUGGGUAGCCACAUACAUAUUAGAUAAUUGCUGAAUGUAUAUCAAGCGAGAAACUAUUCCCUCGAUACAAUCAUUAUGAUUUAAGAUAUAGAACAUAUCUUUGAUAGGGUGCAAAUAAAAUAAAUCCUAGCUUAUUAUUAAUUAUAAAUAAGAUGUUUAGUUAAGCACUACUAAU
RNAcentral lists this ribosomal RNA (3157 nucleotides) under Coniophora olivacea. Its description in RNAcentral is "large subunit ribosomal RNA". It matches the Rfam family "Bacterial large subunit ribosomal RNA". Lineage: Eukaryota; Fungi; Basidiomycota; Agaricomycetes; Boletales; Coniophoraceae. The record is from RNAcentral.